Varanus komodoensis (Komodo dragon) is the source of this 210-nucleotide small nucleolar RNA. Its record names the gene SNORA73. It matches the Rfam family "Small nucleolar RNA SNORA73 family". From Rfam's summary of the family: U17 (SNORA73A and SNORA73B) also known as E1 belongs to the H/ACA class of small nucleolar RNAs (snoRNAs). The record is from Ensembl. Lineage: Eukaryota; Metazoa; Chordata; Lepidosauria; Squamata; Varanidae.
CCAACGGGGAUACCUGGAGAGGUCGCUCUCUCUCAGCUCUGUCCGUGUGGCGUAUGGGAGCGCAGGCCGUCUGGGCUCUGUGGCGUAUGGUCCCCUUCCACGCCGUUGGAGAGCGAGCCGGACCCCUCGUGGUCUGCAGCCUGCAUAUUCCUACUGCUUCUCUGAGUCUUUGGACAAUGACUGAGGAGAUAAACCAUGCAGGAGACAUGU